Molecule: long non-coding RNA, 146 nt
Organism: Sphaeramia orbicularis (orbiculate cardinalfish)
Lineage: Eukaryota; Metazoa; Chordata; Actinopteri; Kurtiformes; Apogonidae
Exons: 3
Source: RefSeq, a predicted model, not a curated record
UGGCAUUGUACUGACAAAAACAGUGCUUUUAGGUAUUCUAUGUUUUCUUUUCUGUCUGUUUUAGUCACAUGAUACACACAGGAGUUACUACUUGUUUGCAUAACCAUCAUUUGGGCUAAUGAAUCUUUAUGGCCUAAUAAUUUUUU